AUUGAACGCUGGCGGCAGGCUUAACACAUGCAAGUCGAGCGGGGUGAUGGUGCUUGCACUAUCACUUAGCGGCGGACGGGUGAGUAAUGCUUAGGAAUCUGCCUAUUAGUGGGGGACAACAUCUCGAAAGGGAUGCUAAUACCGCAUACGUCCCACGGGAGAAAGCAGGGGAUCACUUGUGACCUUGCGCUAAUAGAUGAGCCUAAGUCGGAUUAGCUAGUUGGUGGGGUAAAGGCCUACCAAGGCGACGAUCUGUAGCGGGUCUGAGAGGAUGAUCCGCCACACUGGGACUGAGACACGGCCCAGACUCCUACGGGAGGCAGCAGUGGGGAAUAUUGGGCAAUGGGGGGAACCCUGAUCCAGCCAUGCCGCGUGUGUGAAGAAGGCCUUAUGGUUGUAAAGCACUUUAAGCGAGGAGGAGGCUCUUUUGGUUAAUACCCAAGAUGAGUGGACGUUACUCGCAGAAUAAGCACCGGCUAACUCUGUGCCAGCAGCCGCAGUAA
RNAcentral lists this ribosomal RNA (503 nucleotides) under uncultured bacterium. RNAcentral's name for it is "partial 16S ribosomal RNA". It matches the Rfam family "Bacterial small subunit ribosomal RNA", at positions 30 to 523 of the family's 1533-position model. The record is from RNAcentral.